Molecule: ribosomal RNA, 685 nt
Filed under: uncultured bacterium
Lineage: Bacteria
Description: bacterial SSU rRNA
Rfam family: Bacterial small subunit ribosomal RNA
Source: RNAcentral
ACGGGUGAGUAACGCGUGGGUAACCUACCCUGUACACACGGAUAACAUACCGAAAGGUAUGCUAAUACGGGAUAAUAUAUUUGAGAGGCAUCUCUUAAAUAUCAAAGGUGAGCCAGUACAGGAUGGACCCGCGUCUGAUUAGCUAGUUGGUAAGGUAACGGCUUACCAAGGCGACGAUCAGUAGCCGACCUGAGAGGGUGAUCGGCCACAUUGGAACUGAGACACGGUCCAAACUCCUACGGGAGGCAGCAGUGGGGAAUAUUGCACAAUGGGCGAAAGCCUGAUGCAGCAACGCCGCGUGAGUGAUGAAGGCCUUCGGGUCGUAAAACUCUGUCCUCAAGGAAGAUAAUGACGGUACUUGAGGAGGAAGCCCCGGCUAACUACGUGCCAGCAGCCGCGGUAAUACGUAGGGGGCUAGCGUUAUCCGGAUUUACUGGGCGUAAGGGGUGCGUAGGCGGUCUUUCAAGUCAGGAGUGAAAGGCUACGGCUCAACCGUAGUAAGCUCUUGAAACUGGGAGACUUGAGUGCAGGAGAGGAGAGUGGAAUUCCUAGUGUAGCGGUGAAAUGCGUAGAUAUUAGGAGGAACACCAGUUGCGAAGGCGGCUCUCUGGACUGUAACUGACGCUGAGGCACGAAAGCGUGGGGAGCAAACAGGAUUAGAUACCCUGGUAGUCCACGCUGUAAA